This 1522-nucleotide ribosomal RNA is filed under the name Enterococcus hirae. RNAcentral describes it as "bacterial SSU rRNA". It matches the Rfam family "Bacterial small subunit ribosomal RNA". Lineage: Bacteria; Bacillati; Bacillota; Bacilli; Lactobacillales; Enterococcaceae. The record is from RNAcentral.
AGAGUUUGAUCCUGGCUCAGGACGAACGCUGGCGGCGUGCCUAAUACAUGCAAGUCGAACGCUUCUUUUUCCACCGGAGCUUGCUCCACCGGAAAAAGAGGAGUGGCGAACGGGUGAGUAACACGUGGGUAACCUGCCCAUCAGAAGGGGAUAACACUUGGAAACAGGUGCUAAUACCGUAUAACAAUCGAAACCGCAUGGUUUUGAUUUGAAAGGCGCUUUCGGGUGUCGCUGAUGGAUGGACCCGCGGUGCAUUAGCUAGUUGGUGAGGUAACGGCUCACCAAGGCGACGAUGCAUAGCCGACCUGAGAGGGUGAUCGGCCACAUUGGGACUGAGACACGGCCCAAACUCCUACGGGAGGCAGCAGUAGGGAAUCUUCGGCAAUGGACGAAAGUCUGACCGAGCAACGCCGCGUGAGUGAAGAAGGUUUUCGGAUCGUAAAACUCUGUUGUUAGAGAAGAACAAGGAUGAGAGUAACUGUUCAUCCCUUGACGGUAUCUAACCAGAAAGCCACGGCUAACUACGUGCCAGCAGCCGCGGUAAUACGUAGGUGGCAAGCGUUGUCCGGAUUUAUUGGGCGUAAAGCGAGCGCAGGCGGUUUCUUAAGUCUGAUGUGAAAGCCCCCGGCUCAACCGGGGAGGGUCAUUGGAAACUGGGAGACUUGAGUGCAGAAGAGGAGAGUGGAAUUCCAUGUGUAGCGGUGAAAUGCGUAGAUAUAUGGAGGAACACCAGUGGCGAAGGCGGCUCUCUGGUCUGUAACUGACGCUGAGGCUCGAAAGCGUGGGGAGCAAACAGGAUUAGAUACCCUGGUAGUCCACGCCGUAAACGAUGAGUGCUAAGUGUUGGAGGGUUUCCGCCCUUCAGUGCUGCAGCUAACGCAUUAAGCACUCCGCCUGGGGAGUACGACCGCAAGGUUGAAACUCAAAGGAAUUGACGGGGGCCCGCACAAGCGGUGGAGCAUGUGGUUUAAUUCGAAGCAACGCGAAGAACCUUACCAGGUCUUGACAUCCUUUGACCACUCUAGAGAUAGAGCUUCCCCUUCGGGGGCAAAGUGACAGGUGGUGCAUGGUUGUCGUCAGCUCGUGUCGUGAGAUGUUGGGUUAAGUCCCGCAACGAGCGCAACCCUUAUUGUUAGUUGCCAUCAUUUAGUUGGGCACUCUAGCAAGACUGCCGGUGACAAACCGGAGGAAGGUGGGGAUGACGUCAAAUCAUCAUGCCCCUUAUGACCUGGGCUACACACGUGCUACAAUGGGAAGUACAACGAGUCGCAAAGUCGCGAGGCUAAGCUAAUCUCUUAAAGCUUCUCUCAGUUCGGAUUGUAGGCUGCAACUCGCCUACAUGAAGCCGGAAUCGCUAGUAAUCGCGGAUCAGCACGCCGCGGUGAAUACGUUCCCGGGCCUUGUACACACCGCCCGUCACACCACGAGAGUUUGUAACACCCGAAGUCGGUGAGGUAACCUUUUGGAGCCAGCCGCCUAAGGUGGGAUAGAUGAUUGGGGUGAAGUCGUAACAAGGUAACCU